GCGCCCAUAGCUCAGGUGGAUCAGAGCAUUCGAUUUCUAAUCGAAAUGUCGCAGGUUCGAGCCCUGCUGGGCGCACCA
RNAcentral lists this transfer RNA (78 nucleotides) under Deltaproteobacteria bacterium. RNAcentral's name for it is "tRNA-Arg". It matches the Rfam family "tRNA". Rfam says of the family: Transfer RNA (tRNA) molecules are approximately 80 nucleotides in length. Their secondary structure includes four short double-helical elements and three loops (D, anti-codon, and T loops). Further hydrogen bonds mediate the characteristic L-shaped molecular structure. tRNAs have two regions of fundamental functional importance: the anti-codon, which is responsible for specific mRNA codon recognition, and the 3' end, to which the tRNAs corresponding amino acid is attached (by aminoacyl-tRNA synthetases). tRNAs cope with the degeneracy of the genetic code in two manners: having more than one tRNA (with a specific anti-codon) for a particular amino acid; and 'wobble' base-pairing, i.e. permitting non-standard base-pairing at the 3rd anti-codon position. RNAcentral also lists the same sequence under 1 other name. Lineage: Bacteria; Pseudomonadati; Myxococcota; Myxococcia. The record is from RNAcentral.